CACCUGGAAUAAUGGAAGAUUUGAGCUGAACCCUGUUCAAUCUCUCAUUUUCUUCUUUCAGUUGCUCCCCCAGCUGACAUUUACCACUGGUGAAGUUGACAUUGUUCGGAGAAAACUUGAUUUCAAAACGGAUUCCCAAACUAUGAAGCCUGGGAUCCACUGAGCAAUAACAUAUUUUUCGUUCAUUUGGGAAGAAGAAGGAAUCCCUGAAAUUAGUGGAGGGAUCUGCAGACUGGAGUUUUCAAAGGCACACAGUAAAUAUUGCAUGCAUGAACUGGAAUCCAAUCAUAUCUCACCCACCAACUCAUCUGUGGUUGUGGGGAUUUCAACAAUACAGCCCGUGAGCAGGUUUCACUAUGAUCGGACGCUGACAACCCUUGUAGCCAUGGCUCAUAUCUGCCCCUGUCUACAGGAAAGUGGCCAUUUUCCCAUAAGCCACGCUUAUGAAAUCCAAAGUUGAUGCCAAGCAGGACACCAGGCAUUGCCCUCCACCCCGGCUCCUUGGAUGGCCCUCCACCAAGCCCACUGUGAUGAGACCAUCUUCCCGAGAACCACAGGAAAUUCAAGAGAGGCAGCUGCCCAUGUCUUUGCAUCCCAGGAAAUUCUGCAGUAGGGCUACUGAGGCCUUAUUGUCAUUUCUAUGCUGAUGAUAAACAGUUCACAGACCAAUAUGAGCAUCUGGACCAACCUUUGAGAAACACAGAAUUGGAAAACCUUUUCAUUCCAAGACGACUUAUAAUUUUCUUACACAAGUCCUAUGGUCUCUUGAAGUUUAAAUUACUGUAUUUCAGGCACCCAGUUCUACUGUUUCAAAAUGUUAAAGAGCCAGUGGAAUUUGGUGAAAAUUUUACCUCAAUCCAGCCAAGUUGAUGAAGAUGUACCUCUGGGAGACUGGGACAAUCAUUUCCAAAGUGGGCACAUCACCAGGGUAGUAGAGAUGAUAAAAAAAAAAAAAAUCCCACACAAUUGUUUGAGUGCUACUUGUCUAGCUGAUGCUCAGACAUCCUUUAUUUGAAAUUUAUGAUGAGAAAAGAAUAGGAGAAAAGAAGAAGCACCUGAAGUCACAAUGCAUAGCAUACUCAUGCUAGGUAAGUACUAGAUGCCACUCUGCCAAUUUGUUGCUUGGAUAUGACAGCAGAAAUCAUGCUGCCUAGACUUUCUUGGAAACUAUUUUGUAAUCUUGCACUGUAGAUAGUGAAUACUGUCAAGGGUAAUGCAAUCACCUUGUCUGUUGACAAACAUUGAGUUCCAGCAAAAUUUUCUUUCU
RNAcentral lists this long non-coding RNA (1267 nucleotides) under Pan troglodytes (chimpanzee). RNAcentral's name for it is "lncRNA (ENSPTRG00000053606.1)". The record is from RNAcentral. Lineage: Eukaryota; Metazoa; Chordata; Mammalia; Primates; Hominidae.